GCCUGGGUGGCUCAGUCAGUUAAGCAACUGACUUCGGCUCAGGUCAUGACCUCACGGUCGUGGGUUCAAGCCCCGCAUCGGGCU
Molecule: transfer RNA, 84 nt
Filed under: Felis catus (domestic cat)
Lineage: Eukaryota; Metazoa; Chordata; Mammalia; Carnivora; Felidae
Rfam family: tRNA
About the family: Transfer RNA (tRNA) molecules are approximately 80 nucleotides in length. Their secondary structure includes four short double-helical elements and three loops (D, anti-codon, and T loops).
Source: Rfam by way of RNAcentral